UCAACCAAAAACGUCACUUUCGAAACUGACACAUCAGUAUUAUGUCAGAAACAGAUCGAAUAACGAACUCGAAUUGGCCUUUAGGUCAGUGGUGGCAAGUGCUCUCCUCAUAGGGCAACUGCGCCUAUUCGUGUAGGCUAUAACUGUGAACGACUUCGUUAGUUCGUCUAUCUAUUCUCUCUAGCGCUUGAAUAAGAGUAACAGGCAAAUAUACGAGUUUUGACAUUCGCGGUAUCCCUUAACGGCUUCGAAGCCCUUUCUCCGUGGUCACUACAUUUGUAUUUUUUGAAUUGAUUGCCAUUUAGGGCACUUGCGUCACCUGACUAGUUUGUUUCGUUCUCAAGGAAAAGGACUUGUGUGAUGGCUCUCACGUUGCUAAUAAUUCCCAUUGGAGGUUCGCUAAUAUUUACACAAGCAUCUGCCACACGAAGGUUUCUUUUCGUUGAAAUCGACACAUUUUUUAAAUAAUUCACAGCUGCCUGUAUGUUUUUGUAAAUAAAAAUAAAACAAG
Long non-coding RNA from Cydia strobilella, 511 nucleotides. RefSeq lists it as uncharacterized. The record is from RefSeq and is a predicted model, not a curated record. NCBI's taxonomy places the organism in Eukaryota, Metazoa, Arthropoda, Insecta, Lepidoptera, Tortricidae. The transcript has 2 exons.